UGGGGAAUCUUGCGCAAUGGGCGAAAGCCUGACGCAGCAACGCCGCGUGGAGGAAGAAGGCCUUCGGGUUGUAAACUCCUGUCAGGGGGAAAGAAGGCACCUGGGUGAAUAGCCCAAGGGCUGACGGUACCCCCAGAGGAAGCCACCGCUAACUACGUGCCAGCAGCCGCGGUAAUACGUAGGUGGCGAGCGUUGUCCGGCAUUAUUGGGCGUAAAGAGCGCGUAGGCGGCUUGCCAGGGCCGACGUGAAAUCCCGGGGCUCAACUCCGGACGUGCAUCGGAAACCGGCUUGCUAGAGUCUGGGAGAGGGGAGUGGAAUUCCUCGUGUAGCGGUGAAAUGCGCAGAUAUCAGGAGGAAUACCGGUAGCGAAGGCUGCUCCCUGGAACAGUACUGACGCUGAGGCGCGAAAGCUAGGGGAGCGAACA
This 426-nucleotide ribosomal RNA is filed under the name uncultured prokaryote. Its description in RNAcentral is "bacterial SSU rRNA". It matches the Rfam family "Bacterial small subunit ribosomal RNA", at positions 355 to 774 of the family's 1533-position model. The record is from RNAcentral.